ACAGGGAUUGCCUUAGUAACGGCGAGUGAAGCGGCAAAAGCUCAAAUUUGAAAUCUGGCACCUUCGGUGUCCGAGUUGUAAUUUGAAGAAGGUAACUUUGGAGUUGGCUCUUGUCUAUGUUCCUUGGAACAGGACGUCACAGAGGGUGAGAAUCCCGUGCGAUGAGAUGCCCAAUUCUAUGUAAAGUGCUUUCGAAGAGUCGAGUUGUUUGGGAAUGCAGCUCUAAGUGGGUGGUAAAUUCCAUCUAAAGCUAAAUAUUGGCGAGAGACCGAUAGCGAACAAGUACAGUGAUGGAAAGAUGAAAAGAACUUUGAAAAGAGAGUGAAAAAGUACGUGAAAUUGUUGAAAGGGAAGGGCUUGAGAUCAGACUUGGUAUUUUGCGAUCCUUUCCUUCUUGGUUGGGUUCCUCGCAGCUUACUGGGCCAGCAUCGGUUUGGAUGGUAGGAUAAUGACUAAGGAAUGUGGCUCUACUUCGGUGGAGUGUUAUAGCCUUGGUUGAUACUGCCUGUCUAGACCGAGGACUGCGUCUUUUGACUAGGAUGUUGGCAUAAUGAUCUUAAG
This 561-nucleotide ribosomal RNA is filed under the name Debaryomyces hansenii. RNAcentral describes it as "partial large subunit ribosomal RNA". It matches the Rfam family "Eukaryotic large subunit ribosomal RNA", at positions 68 to 644 of the family's 3401-position model. The record is from RNAcentral. Lineage: Eukaryota; Fungi; Ascomycota; Pichiomycetes; Serinales; Debaryomycetaceae.